AGAGUUUGAUCCUGGCUCAGAACGAACGCUGGCGGCGUGCUUAACACAUGCAAGUCGUACGAGAAAGCUCGCUUCGGUGAGUGAGUAGAGUGGCGCACGGGUGAGUAACACGUGGGUAACCUACCCGACAGUCCGGGAUAACAUUCCGAAAGGAGUGCUAAUACCAGAUACGUCCGGUGGCUCUUCGGAGUUGCCGGGGAAAGAUGGCCUCUGCUUGCAUGCUAUCGGCUGACGGAUGGGCCCGCGGGCCAUUAGCUUGUUGGUGAGGUAACGGCUCACCAAGGCGACAAUGGCUAGCUGGUCUGAGAGGAUGAUCAGCCACACUGGAACUGAAACACGGUCCAGACUCCUACGGGAGGCAGCAGUGGGGAAUAUUGCGCAAUGGGGGCAACCCUGACGCACCAACGCCGCGUGAGUGAUGAAGGCCUUCGGGUCGUAAAGCUCUGUCAGAGGGGAAGAAGGUUCGGUCGGUUAAUACCCGACAGUUCUUGACGGUACCCUCAAAGGAAGCACCGGCUAACUCCGUGCCAGCAGCCGCGGUAAUACGGAGGGUGCAAGCGUUGUUCGGAAUCACUGGGCGUAAAGGGCGCGUAGGCGGUUUCCUAAGUCAGAUGUGAAAGCCCCCGGCUUAACCGGGGAACUGCAUUUGAUACUGGGUUACUUGAGUACGGGAGAGGGAAGUGGAAUUCCUGGUGUAGAGGUGAAAUUCGUAGAUAUCAGGAGGAACACCCGUGGCGAAGGCGGCUUCCUGGACCGAUACUGACGCUGAGGCGCGAAAGCGUGGGGAGCAAACAGGAUUAGAUACCCUGGUAGUC
Molecule: ribosomal RNA, 815 nt
Filed under: uncultured bacterium
Lineage: Bacteria
Description: bacterial SSU rRNA
Rfam family: Bacterial small subunit ribosomal RNA
Source: RNAcentral